CAAUAGCGUAUAUUAAUGUUGUUGCAGUUAAAAGCUCGUAGUUGAAUUUCUGGAGUUUAAUAUCAAUCCGGGUGUUUGUUUUGAGGGCUUCGGUUCUCUUUACAACCCUGUGUAUUGUCUUUAUUAAACCUCCAUCUUAGUAGUGAGUGUAACUGGCAUUAGGUUGUCGGGUGCAGGAGCUGCUUCGUUUACUGUGAAUAAAAUAGAGUGUUUAAAGCAGGCAUUACGCCUUGAAUACUUCAGCAUGGAAUAAAAUUAUAGGACUUUGGUGCUAUUUUAUUGGUUUGCACACCGAGUAAUGAUUAAUAGGGACAGUUGGGGGUAUUCAUAUUUGAUUGUCAGAGGUGAAAUUCUUGGAUUUAUGAAAGAUGAACUUAUGCGAAAGCAUUUACCAAGGAUGUUUUCAUUAAUCAAGAACGAAAGUUAGGGGAUCGAAGACGAUUAGAUAUCGU
This 452-nucleotide ribosomal RNA is filed under the name uncultured eukaryote. Its description in RNAcentral is "bacterial SSU rRNA". It matches the Rfam family "Eukaryotic small subunit ribosomal RNA", at positions 592 to 1018 of the family's 1831-position model. The record is from RNAcentral.